AUUGAACGCUGGCGGCAUGCCUUACACAUGCAAGUCGAACGGCAGCACGGGAGCAAUCCUGGUGGCGAGUGGCGAACGGGUGAAGUAACAUAGUCGGAACGUGCCCGGUAGGUGGGGGAAUAACCCGGCGAAAGUCGGACUAAUACCGCAUACGACCUACGGGUGAAAGCGGGGGAUCGCAAGACCUCGCGCUAUUGGAGCGGCCGAUAUCAGAUUAGCUAGUUGGUGGGGUAAAGGCCUACCAAGGCGACGAUCUGUAGCUGGUCUGAGAGGACGACCAGCCACACUGGGACUGAGACACGGCCCAGACUCCUACGGGAGGCAGCAGUGGGGAAUUUUGGACAAUGGGCGCAAGCCUGAUCCAGCCAUGCCGCGUGCGGGAAGAAGGCCUUCGGGUUGUAAACCGCUUUUGUCAGGGAAGAAAAGGUUCGAGCUAAUACCUCGGACUAAUGACGGUACCUGAAGAAUAAGCACCGGCUAACUACGUG
Molecule: ribosomal RNA, 488 nt
Filed under: uncultured bacterium
Lineage: Bacteria
Description: bacterial SSU rRNA
Rfam family: Bacterial small subunit ribosomal RNA
Source: RNAcentral